CCUACGGGAGGCAGCAGUGAGGAAUAUUGGUCAAUGGACGAGCGUCUGAACCAGCCAAGUAGCGUGAAGGAUGACUGCCCUAUGGGUUGUAAACUUCUUUUAUAAAGGAAUAAAACGAGGCACGUGUGCCUUUUUGCAUGUACUUUAUGAAUAAGGAUCGGCUAACUCCGUGCCAGCAGCCGCGGUAAUACGGAGGAUCCGAGCGUUAUCCGGAUUUAUUGGGUUUAAAGGGAGCGUAGAUGGGUUGUUAAGUCAGUUGUGAAAGUUUGCGGCUCAACCGUAAAAUUGCAAUUGAUACUGGCAGUCGUGAGUACAGUUGAGGUAGGCGGAAUUCGUGGUGUAGCGGUGAAAUGCUUAGAUAUCACGAAGAACCCCGAUUGCGAAGGCAGCUUACUAAACUGUGACUGACAUUGAUGCUCGAAAGUGUGGGUAUCAAACAGGAUUAGAUACCCCUGUAGUC
Molecule: ribosomal RNA, 460 nt
Filed under: uncultured bacterium
Lineage: Bacteria
Description: partial 16S ribosomal RNA
Rfam family: Bacterial small subunit ribosomal RNA
Source: RNAcentral